This 483-nucleotide ribosomal RNA is filed under the name uncultured bacterium. RNAcentral's name for it is "partial 16S ribosomal RNA". It matches the Rfam family "Bacterial small subunit ribosomal RNA", at positions 28 to 507 of the family's 1533-position model. The record is from RNAcentral.
AUUGAACGCUGGCGGCAUGCUUUACACAUGCAAGUCGAACGGCAGCGCGGGCUUCGGCCUGGCGGCGAGUGGCGAACGGGUGAGUAAUGCAUCGGAACGUGCCCAGUAGUGGGGAAAGGCCGGCCGAAGGCGGAUUAAUAACGCCAAAGACCUGAGGGGGGAAGGGGGGGGCCGGAAAGCCCCCCGCCAUUUGAGCGGCCGAUGUCGGAUUAGCUAGUUGGUGGGGUAAAGGCUUACCAAGGCGACGAUCCGUAGCUGGUCUGAGAGGACGACCAGCCACACUGGGACUGAGACACGGCCCAGACUCCUACGGGAGGCAGCAGUGGGGAAUUUUGGACAAUGGGGGCAACCCUGAUCCAGCCAUGCCGCGUGCGGGAAGAAGGCCUUCGGGUUGUAAACCGCUUUUGUUCGGGAAGAAAUCCUCUGGGCUAAUACCCCGGGGGGAUGACGGUACCGGAAGAAUAAGCACCGGCUAACUACGUG